RNAcentral lists this transfer RNA (84 nucleotides) under Eubacterium sp. Its description in RNAcentral is "tRNA-Leu". It matches the Rfam family "tRNA". From Rfam's summary of the family: Transfer RNA (tRNA) molecules are approximately 80 nucleotides in length. Their secondary structure includes four short double-helical elements and three loops (D, anti-codon, and T loops). RNAcentral also lists the same sequence under 2 other names. The record is from RNAcentral. Lineage: Bacteria; Bacillati; Bacillota; Clostridia; Eubacteriales; Eubacteriaceae.
GCCGGCGUGUCGGAACUGGUAGACGAGGCAGACUCAAAAUCUGUUGGCAGCAAUGCCGUGUGGGUUCGAUUCCCACCGCCGGCA